AGAUACUGUAGGACCUUGUCAGGCU
RNAcentral lists this non-coding RNA (25 nucleotides) under Mus musculus (house mouse). Lineage: Eukaryota; Metazoa; Chordata; Mammalia; Rodentia; Muridae. The record is from RNAcentral.